Molecule: ribosomal RNA, 429 nt
Filed under: Chloroflexota bacterium
Lineage: Bacteria; Bacillati; Chloroflexota
Also listed under: 1 other name
Description: Chloroflexi bacterium partial 16S ribosomal RNA
Rfam family: Bacterial small subunit ribosomal RNA
Source: RNAcentral
UGGGGAAUAUUGCACAAUGGGCGCAAGCCUGAUGCAGCCAUGCCGCGUGUAUGAAGAAGGCCUUCGGGUUGUAAAGUACUUUCAGCGGGGAGGAAGGGAGUAAAGUUAAUACCUUUGCUCAUUGACGUUACCCGCAGAAGAAGCACCGGCUAACUCCGUGCCAGCAGCCGCGGUAAUACGGAGGGUGCAAGCGUUAAUCGGAAUUACUGGGCGUAAAGCGCACGCAGGCGGUUUGUUAAGUCAGAUGUGAAAUCCCCGGGCUCAACCUGGGAACCGCAUCUGAUACUGGCAAGCUUGAGUCUCGUAGAGGGGGGUAGAAUUCCAGGUGUAGCGGUGAAAUGCGUAGAGAUCUGGAGGAAUACCGGUGGCGAAGGCGGCCCCCUGGACGAAGACUGACGCUCAGGUGCGAAAGCGUGGGGAGCAAACAGG